UUCCUCUUGGAGCAUCGGUGUUCUCAUAGGUAAAGGGAGGAUAAAAGUAGUUCCCAACCAGUAGGCUUGCCAUGAAGAUUAAAUGAGAUGACAAGGUGAAGCACUUAGCAGGAUGCUUGCUUCACUUUGUUUCCAUUCUCCGUGCUCAAAAUGACAAGGACUCUCGACUCAAGAUAGUGGAUAAAAAACGAGUUUCUUCUGUAUAGCCUGGGGAACU
Molecule: non-coding RNA, 217 nt
Organism: Vicugna pacos (alpaca)
Lineage: Eukaryota; Metazoa; Chordata; Mammalia; Artiodactyla; Camelidae
Source: RefSeq, a predicted model, not a curated record